RNAcentral lists this ribosomal RNA (253 nucleotides) under uncultured bacterium. Its description in RNAcentral is "partial 16S ribosomal RNA". It matches the Rfam family "Bacterial small subunit ribosomal RNA", at positions 524 to 776 of the family's 1533-position model. The record is from RNAcentral.
UACGAAGGGUGCAAGCGUUACUCGGAAUUACUGGGCGUAAAGCGUGCGUAGGUGGUUUGUUAAGUCUGAUGUGAAAGCCCCGGGCUUAACCUGGGAAUGGCAUUGGAAACUGGCGGGCUUGAGUGCGGCAGAGGGGGGUGGAAUUCCGCGUGUAGCAGUGAAAUGCGUAGAGAUGCGGAGGAACACCGAUGGCGAAGGCAGCCCCCUGGGACGUGACUGACGCUGAGACGCGAAAGCGUGGGGAGCAAACAGG